UAACAACAUAACACAUGUCACACAUGACAUUUAAGACCCUAUAAAGGUAUAAUGUGCAAUUUCAGUUCAGACCAUCCCAUAAAACGUGUUCAAACAAUCAAUUGAAAGUGAAAGUACCAAACAUUGUUAGUUCUGAGGGUCAUCUUUCUUUUCUUCACAAGCAACUGUUAUAAUGCUAAUCAAGGCCAAAUCAUGUAUUUUGACUCCAUAAAUGGGUU
Long non-coding RNA from Etheostoma spectabile (orangethroat darter), 218 nucleotides. RefSeq lists it as uncharacterized. The transcript is spliced from 3 exons. The record is from RefSeq and is a predicted model, not a curated record. Lineage: Eukaryota; Metazoa; Chordata; Actinopteri; Perciformes; Percidae.